CCAGGCUGCUGUGAUACCCUGUGGCUUCUCUGAUAUCUAACAGUGCAAGUCAGCUCACCUACCUGUGCUUCUGGGGGAGGGCACACGGGGUACUUGGCCGCUGCCUUCGUGACACAGGGCCAAGAGUUGGACUCAACGAUCCUUUUGGGUCCCUUCCACCUCAGCUUGUUCUGUGAUUCUGUGAUUAGCUUCCAGCAAGCCUCAGCUCAAGUUUUCUUCAUCUCACCUGGAUGCUGACCACGUCCAGACACCUGUAAAGGGCGGUGGUACCUGAUGGAGGUAAUGGCCACUUUUCCUGGGAAGAAAGAAGGUGGAAGAGACCCAUACCCAGGAG
This is a long non-coding RNA of Hirundo rustica (Barn swallow), 334 nucleotides long. RefSeq lists it as uncharacterized. The transcript is spliced from 3 exons. The record is from RefSeq and is a predicted model, not a curated record. Lineage: Eukaryota; Metazoa; Chordata; Aves; Passeriformes; Hirundinidae.